Molecule: long non-coding RNA, 1273 nt
Filed under: Sus scrofa (pig)
Lineage: Eukaryota; Metazoa; Chordata; Mammalia; Artiodactyla; Suidae
Description: lncRNA (ENSSSCG00070011506.1)
Source: RNAcentral
AUGCCAGCUGAGCCCAGUCUUCCAGCCGAGGCACCAUACUGGAAGAAGCUUUGGGAGGCAACUUGGCAGGCCUGGAGAGAAGAGACGUCUCUCCCACAGCAUCAGCAAACUAACACAUCAGAAGAGGGACUGAUGGGCUGUCCGCUUUGCCCAGAACCCCACCCAGCUGCUAGAACCUGCUGGCUGUCUCCCGGGCCCUCCGCUCCUCCGGGGACCCUGUGCUGUUGUCCUGCGGUUUGCGCCAUUCCUUACCUCACGUUACUAAACCAAUAGCACUAUUUGUGGUCAUUUUUGGCAGAUUACCACAUCUUGUUCAUUGAGAAUGUCUUUUACUCCCUAAUGUAUUUACCUCUCGUGGACUUAAUGUGACUGAAUAAUGACCGUCUUUGCAGGAGCAGAAGAGCCUUUGCAACUACUGGCAUUACAUAAACACUUGGAAUCUUGCAGCCGUGGGCCUGUGCUGGGUGAGGGAGGAAGUGGGAAGGUUUGGUGCUGGGCUGAGCGGCACAUGGCAGACCCUCAGCGGGGUCAGGAGAGGCCAGGGAGGCCCUUGUGAGGCCUGAGGAGAGCCGUCUUGGGCAGUGGCUGCUCUCACACCUCCUCCUCUUUUUUUUUUUUGCUUGUUAGGGCCUGUAAACAUGCUGUAAACAACUGGUACUUGAGGAACCAGGAGAGAGAGAGCACCAGGACACGCUGUUACGUAACUGAACCCUCGACGCCCUUGAGAAUGACAUGUUUGCAAGUUCCCAGGGACUGAUGCUACUGGGGCAACGAGGGAGAGAAGCCCCGCUUCAUCCUCCCCUUCCUCCUCCUCGGCCCACAUUUCCUCCUGUGGAAAUACUGGCUACCACGAGGGGUUCUAGCUUCAGCGCUGCGUUUUCUUGCCUGUGGCCCUUGUGACUGGCAUAGAAAUAAUUCAGCUGUUUCCAUUUUAAUUCCUCACCACAUGGCCAGAAUUGCUUAUCAAUGUAUAUUUUAAAAGGACAAAAAAAAUAUUUUAGGAGUUCCUGUUGUGGCGCAGUGGUUAACGAAUCCGACUAGGAACUAUGAGGUUGCGGGUUCGGUCCCUGCCAUUGCUCAGUGGGUUGACGAUCCGGCGUUGCCGUGAGCUGUGAUGUAGGUUGCAGACCUGGCUUGGAUCCCGAGUUGCUGUGGCUCUGGCGUAGGCCGGUGGCUACAGCUCCGAUUUGACCCCUAUCCUGGGAACCUCAAUAUGCCGCGGUAGCGGCCCAAGAAAUAGCAACAACAACAACAACAACAACAAAGACAAAAA